This 506-nucleotide long non-coding RNA is filed under the name Lupinus angustifolius (narrow-leaved blue lupine). RNAcentral describes it as "long non-coding RNA (LANG_LNC003468)". The record is from RNAcentral. Lineage: Eukaryota; Viridiplantae; Streptophyta; Magnoliopsida; Fabales; Fabaceae.
UCAGUUUGAACCUUCUUUUCUACUCUUCAAUGGCGGCUAAUCGGCUAUUAUCAGUUUGAACAUGCUUCUCAACCCUUCUAAUGGCGGCUAUGUGAUGAGUUUGAACAUUCUUCUCUAUUCGAUUGAGAGAGAGUGAGAGAGAGGAAGUGAAGUUGUGACAGAGAUUUAGGGAUUGAUGGGCUCGUCGACUCCACCAAUUUUACGCACCUGCACGACGAUCCCACCCGAUCCCAUGGAGGCGCAUCCAAGAUUGAGAUCGAGCACGGGUUGAAGGUUGAGAAUCGUAAGAUCGUGCGAUCUCACGAGUAAGCUCGUGAUUUUGACUACCUUGACAACAAGUAGUGGCAUACAAAGCCUAUGGUGAGAAAAAAACCUUGAUGGAGAAAUUGAAGGAAGAGCAGGAGAGAGGUAAAGAUAAUUGUGUAGAGAUAAAAGUCAAGCCAAAUGGGACUAUGCAUAGAAGCUAUUAAGAAAGUUGAAAAUAUCAUCAUCAUAAGCAACAAAGG